CACGUAGGGUGCGAGCGUUGUCCGGAAUUAUUGGGCGUAAAGAGCUCGUAGGCGGUGUGUCGCGUCGGCCGUGAAAACUUGGGGCUUAACUCUGAGCGUGCGGUCGAUACGGGCAUCACUUGAGUUCGGCAGGGGAGACUGGAAUUCCUGGUGUAGCGGUGAAAUGCGCAGAUAUCGGGAGGAACACCCGUAGCGAAGGCGGCACUCUGGGCCGGUACUGACGCUGAGGAGCGAAAGCGUGGGGAGCAAACAGG
This 254-nucleotide ribosomal RNA is filed under the name uncultured bacterium. RNAcentral's name for it is "partial 16S ribosomal RNA". It matches the Rfam family "Bacterial small subunit ribosomal RNA", at positions 524 to 776 of the family's 1533-position model. The record is from RNAcentral.